GCCCAUCCCAUGUGUUCCCUGUUAAUAAGCAUGUAGGGGUGUAUAUAAAAAAAUACCCCUCUCUGUCUCAUUAGAGAUAUCUUUGCCAGAAGCUCAAGGAAGCAAGGUGAAUGGUUAAUGUAGGACCCACCUAAGAGGUUUGCCUUGACGUGGCAGGUGGGCAUUCCCUCUCAUGGCCAUUGGAGUAACUAAAUACUACUCCAUACUAAUUUGCCCCUUUCUUACGCAAGACACUACUAAGGAGCUUGUCCAUAGUUACAUAGUUAUGUAGCUGAAAAGAGACAGCUCCACCUAUUUGUUGUGUAUUAUAUGAAAAGAGACUUGCGUCCAUCAAG
Non-coding RNA from Pelobates cultripes (western spadefoot toad), 335 nucleotides. Lineage: Eukaryota; Metazoa; Chordata; Amphibia; Anura; Pelobatidae. The record is from the annotation of a GenBank genome assembly.